GUUGAUUUAAUCAAAGAUUUUCUUGAUUUAACCAAAGAAUUUAUUACAUUUGGAUGUACUACAUGAAUGCAAAACCCUAGUCCUAGGGGUAUUGGGGGAAAUUUCCCUUCAAAGGUUGAGUGGUGCCAAUCACAUUAAUUGUGAAGCCCAAUAACGAUCCUUUGAAGAAGUCACGAAUAAUGCAAGUGGGAUGCAAAUGAAUGGAAUGCAUGUAUGCAAUGUGAGAUAUGUGAAGUGAGAAAAAUAAUAAAAAUAAUGGGAUGCAAGUGGAGGUGUGCAAAUGUAUUUACAAGUGUUUGUGUGCAAGUGAAGGGAUAAAAAGGUGUAUGUAUGCAAAUGGGACAAAAGUGUUCGUGUGCAAGUGAAGGGAUAAAAGGUGUACGUGUGCAAGUGAAAAUAUAAAGGUGCACGUGUGCCAAAUGGGAAGAAAGUGUGAUGAUAGAGUGGAUGCAUGAACCUAGG
RNAcentral lists this long non-coding RNA (462 nucleotides) under Coffea arabica (coffee). RNAcentral's name for it is "long non-coding RNA (CARA_LNC007143)". Lineage: Eukaryota; Viridiplantae; Streptophyta; Magnoliopsida; Gentianales; Rubiaceae. The record is from RNAcentral.